RNAcentral lists this unclassified non-coding RNA (226 nucleotides) under uncultured fungus. RNAcentral's name for it is "sequence contains ITS1, 5.8S rRNA gene". The stretch from base 178 to 226 matches the Rfam family "5.8S ribosomal RNA", at positions 1 to 49 of the family's 154-position model. Lineage: Eukaryota; Fungi. The record is from RNAcentral.
UCUCCGUAGGUGAACCUGCGGAGGGAUCAUUACUGAGUGAGGGUUUAACCGCCCGACCUCCAACCCUUUUGUGAACCACCUCGUUGCUUCGGGGGCGACCCUGCCGUUCGCGGCGUGGGGCCCCCGGAGGCCUUCAAACACUGCAUCUUUGCGUCGGAGUUUAAGUAAAUUAAACAAAACUUUCAACAACGGAUCUCUUGGUUCUGGCAUCGAUGAAGAACGCAGC